Long non-coding RNA from Sciurus carolinensis (gray squirrel), 1310 nucleotides. RefSeq lists it as uncharacterized. The transcript has 3 exons. NCBI's taxonomy places the organism in Eukaryota, Metazoa, Chordata, Mammalia, Rodentia, Sciuridae. The record is from RefSeq and is a predicted model, not a curated record.
CUGACCCAAAGCCUGGUAGCAGCUAGGCUACCUCGGGCAAUUUGGGCAGGCCGAGGACCCCGGGAACCUCAGCUAGGUAAAAGGCUCUGGAGAAUGCCUGGCUUCUAGUUACUUCGCGUAUUCGCAUGACUGGUUACCUCUCCCUGUACCUGGAGUAAAGGAACAUCAUCAUGUCUGAAACUGUCAAAUGAUUUAGAAAAAGACUGCCAUGAUUGAAAGAGGAAAGGGAGAGAGACAGAGAAGAGCGUGGUGAAGAGUUAACAUUUUGAUAAUCUGGGUUAAAGUUCUUCAAAUUGCAAGGUGAUGGAGAGAGCACGCAAUUUCAAGCAGACUAUGAAAUCAUUCUUGAAAAUUUGGACAUUCAUAUAGAUGGCUUUUAAUUUUUCUUGGAGACUGCCUUUCCUUAUAAAAUCAUGAAAUGUAAAAAAAAAAAACCUUAUACACUAUAAAUUAAACUAUAUAAAUGAUAAUAUUCUCAUUACAAUAAAAUUCUAGGGAUAAGAAACCAGUACUUCAAGGACCCAUUCCCACUUGUUAUUAUUCCUAGUUGGAAUUGUAUUGCUGGAAACUUAGAUCUAAGUGACUAUAAAUGAACAUUGACUAGGAAAACUAUUAACAUUCUAAUGUAUGUAAAAAUCAUUAGGGCUGGGAUGUAGCUCAGUAGUACAGCACAUUUGCUUAGCAUGCAUGAGGGGGAAAAAAGAAAAGGAAAAAAAAAAAAAAAGGAAGAACUAUCAGAUUCCAUACAAGAAACCUUGAAGCAUGUCAUCAGAAAUGUCUUGUGAAGCUGCACACUGCAAAAAGCAUGCCUUUAUUUUAAAUGUCCAUGUGCCCUGGCUCUAUAGAUUCCAGUACAUAAAGAAAGAUGCAGACGCCAGGUGUAUUGGUGCAUGCCUGAAAUCCCAGGGGCUCAGGAGGCUGAGGCAGGAGGAUCACAAGUUCAAGGCCAGCCUCAGCAACUUAGUGAGGCCCUUAGCAACUUGGUGAGAUCUAUCUCAAAAUAAAAAAAGAAAAAGAAAAAUGCAGGCUCAGAGACAGCCCUUACUUAGGUCUCAUUCUGUAUGGGACAGUUUUCUUCAGCUGCCUAUCCUGAGCCUCAGAAUCAUGCCUACAAUUUUUUGUCCCAAAAUGUUUUUGUGACAAUACUAGCAUAACUUAUUUUACUCAGGAUUUUAGAUUGACAACAGAAAAAAGAUAAUUCAGAAUAAUGAAAUUUGUACUACCAAAUGAGCCAUAUACAGCUUAUUGUGGUCAACUUGAGCAUAAUUUUAUGGAAUAAACUAUAGACUUUGCACUUUAUGUUUCAACCA